RNAcentral lists this ribosomal RNA (399 nucleotides) under uncultured bacterium. RNAcentral's name for it is "partial 16S ribosomal RNA". It matches the Rfam family "Bacterial small subunit ribosomal RNA", at positions 360 to 776 of the family's 1533-position model. The record is from RNAcentral.
AAUAUUGCACAAUGGGGGAAACCCUGAUGCAGCAACGCCGCGUGAGUGAUGAAGGCCUUCGGGUUGUAAAGCUCUGUCUUCAGGGACGAUAAUGACGGUACCUGAGGAGGAAGCCACGGCUAACUACGUGCCAGCAGCCGCGGUAAUACGUAGGUGGCAAGCGUUGUCCGGAUUUACUGGGCGUAAAGGGAGCGUAGGCGGAUACUUAAGUGGGAUGUGAAAUACCUGGGCUUAACUUGGGUGCUGCAUUCCAAACUGGGUGUCUAGAGUGUUGGAGAGGAAAGUGGAAUUCCUAGUGUAGCGGUGAAAUGCGUAGAGAUUAGGAAGAACACCAGUGGCGAAGGCGACUUUCUGGACAAUAACUGACGCUGAGGCUCGAAAGCGUGGGGAGCAAACAGG